GAAGACCAAAAAUGAAAGCAUAUCGACAACCACAUUUCUUCAACGUGAAAACUGUUAGCUCUGCCCUGAAGAUGAGUCCCACAGAGGUUUUGCAGGGUGGAGUUACCGAGAAAUUGACUUCGGGGUGAGUAAAACUAAGAUCCAGGGAAGGCUGCAGCCACUUUUCCAGGGUAAGGGGCGGUGUCAUUUGCUUCCUCAUGCGGCGAGGACGAAAGUGAUUAUAAGCCACAGAACGUGGCGCCAGGGCAUAAACCAUUUCAGGAGACGAAGCUCUGACCUUCCAGGCACCAAGAUCUUUACCAACAACCCGGGAUGCUCACUGCAGGAGGGAGCGGGUGAGGAGGACACAGGGAUUCGAGGGCGGGACAGACAGGGAGAGGACACAGGUUCCAGAGACUUCUGUUUUAAGGCUCUCGGGGAUCCCUGAGAAGGCCCUUGAGGGCUCCAAGCGCGGGGAGCGAGGGCCG
Molecule: long non-coding RNA, 467 nt
Filed under: Pan troglodytes (chimpanzee)
Lineage: Eukaryota; Metazoa; Chordata; Mammalia; Primates; Hominidae
Description: long non-coding RNA NONPTRT013980
Source: RNAcentral